Long non-coding RNA from Dicentrarchus labrax (European seabass), 452 nucleotides. RefSeq lists it as uncharacterized. NCBI's taxonomy places the organism in Eukaryota, Metazoa, Chordata, Actinopteri, Moronidae. The record is from RefSeq and is a predicted model, not a curated record. The transcript is spliced from 2 exons.
UAAAGGAGCAAGGUUCUGUUUCUGGCUUUUAUGGGUGGAAAAUAAGCUUGAAAUAUAAAAUGGCAAACUACCGCACAAAACUGCGCAAUAUCGGAUGUUCCGAGCUGAAUGUGAAUUCCUUCAAGCGUAAACAAGGUGAUCCACGCACAUCUCCAAAUCAAGUGAAGAAAGCUAGAAGAGCAGAAGUGAACUACUGUCCAGAUUAUCCAACAGGACAAUCCCAAGAGAGCCUUGAGGAAGAGAGACUGGCAUUAUUGUCCGAAGUAAGAAAGAGCAACAACCAACAGGUGGUUAAGGAGAAAAUGGAGAAGACAUUUGCUUACAGGCGGCAUGAAGUGAUUGAAGAAAAGCCUUUCAUUGCUGAAUUCAAAAGAAGGUGGCCAGCUCUUUUCUCUGAGCAGGAGGUAGAAGCAGAGUUUACUCGCAUCACCACUGUACCACUGAGAUCGAAA